UUUUUCUUUUUCUUUUUUUUUUUUUUCCAAAGAGAAUACUGUUUAUUUUUAACAGGCCACUUUAAUAUUAAUACAUGUGUAAUAGGAUCCAAACUGAAAAUCUGCUAAAGAUGGUAAAUUUUACAUUAUUGGGAAAAUUACAAUUUGUUUUGUAUUGUAAAAACAUUUAUUUUUAACAAUUUACCUACAUUAAUCAAAAAAGUACAGCAUAUUUAAUAAUUUUACAAAUUCUUCAUAAAAAAUAUAUCUCUGUACAAAAAGUUCUUUUGCACCUACUUCAUGUCACAGCAGCAUGUAGUGAAAUGGCAGAAUGAAGUACUGGGAAUGAAAAUUAGAUUGACUUGAUCAUAAUGCCGGCGUUCUUUCCCAAUUCCCCCCCUCCCCCUCGCCCUCCCACCUAUUUGUUGUGUUGUUUUUUUUCUUUUGUUUUUGUUUUUUUAAUAACAGCCUUUAUUUGUUUACAAAAUAUUUUACACAAGAAAAAAAAUUAUUGCAGCUAGCCUGGAGAAAGGCAAGAUGUGUGAUACAAGCAGCAGUUUUUAACAGCUUUGAAGCACAUAACCUGUUUAAAAAAAAAAAAAUAGAUAGCAUGUCUUAUUAGCCCAUCGUAAUGAUCUGGUCAACACUGGGGGAAAAGUCUUCUGCAUAUAUCUCAGAAAGUAGAUUUCCUGGCUGACAUUAUCUGGCCACCGUACAACAUAUUAAGAGUCUUAUUCUGAUGAAGCACCAUACACAGCCCUCUGUAAAACAACUUCAGGAGAAAGAGAUCCAACCUGAACAGAAGACUCAAACAUAUGGAGAAGGAGAGGUAUUUGAGGGUCAUGGAUAGAACUGAUAGAACCAGGGGUUCUUUCCUUUUACAGGUUCAAGUCUAAAGCUUCUGUUUAAGCAGUACUCCAAAUAAACUUCUUGGGAUAACGUGUCAGUGUGCUCCAACUCUGAGCAUCUCUUAUCAGAGAACACUCAGUUAGGAAAAACAAUUCUUGAAUAACUUCCUAAAAAUGUAUCACUGGGUAAAGAAUGCAGAGAAUCUGUGCUCUCAUAAAAAUAAAAAAUAGAAUAAAAAGACCAAAGAAUUUAACAACUAUCUUUCUGUGAACUUUCCUUCAGUGCAUUCCUCAGUGGUCAUAAUGACAUAGGUCACUUAAGAAUACACUGCACAGAAAAUAUCAAUAGUAACUACUUAGGUAGAAUUUUGCACUUCUUUUCAAUAUUCUUCUCUCUUCUUUUUUUUUUUUUUUUUUUUUUUUUCCUUUCUUUUCUUCUCUUUUCUUUUCUUUUCUGCUAUCACCACUGCAGAAAGACUUCCAAAGCAGUAGCAAUGAUUUUGAACACCUGCCAAAAACUUUAAUCACACAGCAGCUUCCCUCCCUGGCCCACUGUUUCUAAGGAAGAUAUUCAUUUGCAGAGUAGCUUCCUGUACGUAGGGUGAGAUCACAAAAACUUUGAUAUGAUGAUUUUGUUCUUUCUCAAGAAAGGUGAAAGACUCUGAGAUAUGACAGAUAAAUGAAACUUACUCCAGAAACAAAC
RNAcentral lists this long non-coding RNA (1530 nucleotides) under Gallus gallus (chicken). RNAcentral describes it as "lncRNA (ENSGALG00010002550.1)". Lineage: Eukaryota; Metazoa; Chordata; Aves; Galliformes; Phasianidae. The record is from RNAcentral.